GAUGAACGCUGGCGGCGUGCCUAAUACAUGCAAGUCGAGCGAACAGACGAGGAGCUUGCUCCUUUGACGUUAGCGGCGGACGGGUUAGUAACACGUGGAUAACCUACCUAUAAGACUGGGAUAACUUCGUGAAACCGGAGCUAAUACCGGAUAACAUUUUGAACCGCAUGGUUCAACAGUGAAAGGCGGUCUUGCUGUCACUUAUAGAUGGAUCCGCGCCGCAUUAGCUAGUUGGUAAGGUAACGGCUUACCAAGGCAACGAUGCGUAGCCGACCUGAGAGGGUGAUCGGCCACACUGGAACUGAGACAAGGUCCAGACUCCUACGGGAGGCAGCAGUAGGGAAUCUUCCGCAAAGGGCGAAAGCCUGAAGGAGCAACGCCGCGUGAGUGAAGAAGGUCUUCGGAUCGUAAAACUCUGUUAGUAGGGAAGAACAAAUGUGUAAGUAACUAUGCACGUCUUGACGGUACCUAAUCAGAAAGCCACGGCUAACUACGUG
This 497-nucleotide ribosomal RNA is filed under the name uncultured bacterium. Its description in RNAcentral is "partial 16S ribosomal RNA". It matches the Rfam family "Bacterial small subunit ribosomal RNA", at positions 28 to 507 of the family's 1533-position model. The record is from RNAcentral.